Non-coding RNA from Triticum aestivum (bread wheat), 139 nucleotides. Lineage: Eukaryota; Viridiplantae; Streptophyta; Magnoliopsida; Poales; Poaceae. The record is from Rfam.
CAUAUAUUCCCUCCGUUCCAAAGUACUACUUGACUUUCAUUUGUCCAAAAAUGGAUGUACCUAUAUACGAAAACAUGUAUUGAUACAUCUAUAUUUUGACAAAUGGAAGGCAUGUAUUGUGGAAUGGAGGGAGUAUUUG